Molecule: long non-coding RNA, 550 nt
Filed under: Ananas comosus (pineapple)
Lineage: Eukaryota; Viridiplantae; Streptophyta; Magnoliopsida; Poales; Bromeliaceae
Description: long non-coding RNA (ACOM_LNC020406)
Source: RNAcentral
AAGGUGAAACUUACAAAAUAUGUUUGAUAAAUUUUCGGUAUAUAGUAACACUUUUUUUCACCUUCCAAAAAGAUAGGAUCUACGAACUGGUUCUGAUACUAUAUAAUCUAAUAGAUCAAUUUAGCCGAAAAUUAGUAACACUUUUUUAUAAUCUAAUAGAUCAAUUUUCGGUAUAUAGUAACACUUUUUUUCACCUUCCAAAAAGGUGGGUUGUUUGGACUGAACGCAAUAAUACUAUCUUUCGUGAUAUGCCUCCCAACGCAAACCGGGCCGCGGUUCGCGUUGAGUCUUUGUUGAAGGAUUGGACUGAUGUCACGUGAUUCUCGACGACUGCUGCUCUAGCUACAUGCUUUUGUUCCCUUUUACAUGUUUUUUGGGCUUAUGUUUAUGUUCUCGUUGAUUUCUUUUCGGUUUUUCUAGGAGGCCCUAGCUGCUUCCACCUGUAUGCUUAGUUCAUUUUACUUUAUGAAUGAAGCAGGUAGCUUGCUACCUUUUUCUCAAAAAAAAUUUAGCCGAAAAUUUUGGAUUUGCUGCUCGCUUAUGUCCGCUU